AUCAAGUAUUUCGGUUCCUAGUCACCAGCGAACUAGAGAUCCUACAGGGAUCACUGGAUGCAAACGGAUGUAUGGGAGGCCCUCUACGAUCAGUGGAACAGUGAGGACUACUCCACUAGGUGGUAGAGGGCCCGAUAGAAUCGAACCACCCAAUAGAAUUCGAUCAAGCACAUGGGCGACACUAUCGACACACAUGUUGUGGCCGAC
Molecule: long non-coding RNA, 207 nt
Filed under: Elaeis guineensis (African oil palm)
Lineage: Eukaryota; Viridiplantae; Streptophyta; Magnoliopsida; Arecales; Arecaceae
Description: long non-coding RNA (EGUI_LNC041074)
Source: RNAcentral